GAAAUGCUAUAUCUCACCUGAAGUGGACUUUUGCAGUCCCGCACGUUAAUUAAACACCUCUGUAGCACGUCAGUGAGUCAAACAUUUAUCAAAUAACACGAAAGACGACCCAAGAGAUUUACAUUUGAACAUCACAAUACUUCCGAGGACUUUCACACACAUCAAGUGAUAUUCCAGUAUUUUGAUUGCACUGUCCACAAUACCAGUCUUCAAUGAUACCAUCAAAAUUCAAGAUAUUUGGCAAUAUACCAGGAACUCUACGAUAAACUAAAGAGUAUUUAAAUAGAAGAAAUUAAUUAAAAAUUAUGUAUUCUCAGAUAACAUUUAUAUAAGCAUUGUAGGUGUAAUAUUUUUCCAAUUUCCAAUGAAAUUGUAGAAGCUUUUCGAAAUACCAAGGAUUCAAUUGCAAAAUAAAACAAUACCAAUACUUAUUUAUUAGCAAUUAAAAAAAACAAAGGAGAUUAAAUUCAAGAUAAUUACUAGAGAUUUAUUAUUCGAAAUUAUUAAUCUCCUGUAAUAAUAGUCCCCCAUAAUUGAAAGGACUUCACAUCUCAUAGUUUAUCAAUGAUUAAACAGCUUAAAUUGAAUAUGAAUAAAUCCAUUAUAAUUGAAUAAUGCAUCUUAAUAAACUUAAUCUAAACUUGUCGAAGAUAUCCUUUAUUUAUAUACUUCCAGAAUUGUAUAUAAUUAUUUUGCCAUUAUGUGAUUUUAUAUAUAGGAAACAUAGGAAAAUUUUAAGGGGGAAAUUUUAAUUUUUCGCGUUUUUCCAAUAUCUGUGAAGUAAAUAACUUAAAAUAUCCAUUACUAUAGUAAUUCCAAAGGCUAAUCUCAAAUAAAAUCAUUAACUUAGUCAAGCUUUAUAUUUGAUCUCUAAUUUAUUUAAUAAAACUGCAACAAAAAAAAAUUAUCCAAAUUUCUUUUUAAUGACAUUCACUUUGUAAAAAAAUAAGAAAUUCCUCGGGAAUUCCGUCAAAAGAAUAUUGGCUUAAAAGGAUACUUGUAAUUGGAGCACUUAAAUAAAAAUUAUGCUUCUUAAACGUAUAACUUCAGCGUUUUGUAUAAAAAUUCCAAACCUGUAAUAACCUUUAAAGUUUCACUAAUUCGAUUCUUGUAAAUAAAGCAAUAUGUAAACGUAAACUUCGGAAGAGAAACCCGUAAAACAUAGCUUAAAAAAUACACCGCACUCUGUCCGGGGCGUUAUCAUUCGCGUUUUUGGAGUUAAAAUGGCAGGGUAAGCCCAUGGAGAUCUGAUGAGUUUCCUUUGAGGAGCAGGGCCAUUUUUCCUAUAUGGGGAAGCAAACAUUUUAGUGUAAUCCAUCUAGAUUUAUGGCCUCAACAAACUAGAGAAUUUAAAAGUAUUUUUCAGAUUAUUAAAUUUCAUAGAUUAUUUAUAAGUAUCAAUAACGAAUUUUACAAGUUGUUGCACUUAUCUAGAGAAAAGUUCACAUGCUCCAUACGAUCCCAAGCUUCGUAAUGACUAAAUUUCUCAUAUCUUUCUCAAUAAAUGUGACUUAGUGCGCACCCAUAUUUCAAAAACUAGGGGAGAGUGUCCAGUUUUUAAAAUAUAUUGCGGAAUUACAUUUAUUCAAAAACAUUGCAAAAUCUUAUAGUCAUUCUCAUUACGAAGUUUCGAAUCGUACGAAGCAUGAACACUUUUUCUAUUACAUUAAAAGUAUUUUUAAAAGAAUAAAUGAUGAUUUUUUUUAUAAUUAAAAAGGAUUUAAACUUGAGGUAAAAUAAGUUUGAAAUAUUUUGUAAUAAUCAUGCUUUAUUUAAUUACAAAAAAGGUCGUAUCACGUUCGUAUCACUUCUAUUUAUUAUUAGGAAGUUUAACAAAAUUAUUUGAAUGUGAUUUGAAGAGAAUUAUAAUAAAUUAGUUAAUAUUAAUUACCAUUUUAGGUUUACCGAUUUUUUACCCGUUCCUAAAAAAGUUCGCUUUAAAGCAUCUUCUUCUUGGAAUAUUAAAAAAAUGGCUAAAGUGAUUUUACCUUAGAUACAUUCUGAAAUGUAUUUACAAUUGAAAAUUAUUUUUGUUUACCUCAUAAUAAUUAUGUGCAUCCAAGAAAUUAGUUAAAAUCAUUUAUCACGAUAGGUAUCAGUAAUUUUUAAAAACAGUCUCCAAGCAAUUUGUCAAAGUAUGUCACUUUGUGUAAAUCAACAGGUAUUCUAAUUAAAUAUCUUUCA
Molecule: long non-coding RNA, 2184 nt
Organism: Phlebotomus papatasi
Lineage: Eukaryota; Metazoa; Arthropoda; Insecta; Diptera; Psychodidae
Exons: 2
Source: RefSeq, a predicted model, not a curated record